Molecule: ribosomal RNA, 1651 nt
Filed under: metagenome
Description: bacterial LSU rRNA
Rfam family: Bacterial large subunit ribosomal RNA
Source: RNAcentral
GGGCGAUAGUUGCAUGACGUAGACCCGAAACCGGGUGACCUAUCCAUGAGCAGGUUGAAGUGGAGGUAAAGCUCCAUGGAGGACCGAACCAGACGUCUGUUGAAAAAGGCGGGGAUGACUUGUGGAUAGGGGAGAAAUUCCAAUCGAACCCGGAGAUAGCUGGUUCUCCUCGAAAUAGCUUUAGGGCUAGCCUCAUGGAUCAUUGGUGGGGGUAGAGCACUGAAUGUGCGCGGGGGCCACAAAGCCUACCAAACGCUAUCAAACUUCGAAUACCAUACAAUGCAGACCAUGGGAGUCAGUCCGCGAGAGAUAAGUUCCGCGGGCAAAAGGGGAACACCCCAGAUCAACCGCUAAGGUCCCCAAGUUCACGUUAAGUGGAGAAGGAUGUGGAAUUGCACAGACAACCAGGAUGUUGGCUCAGAAGCAGCCACACAUUUAAAGAGUGCGUAAUAGCUCACUGGUCGAGUGAUUGUGCGCCGAAGAUGUCCGGGGCUAAACGUGACACCGAAGCGAUGGGUGCGUCUGAAGAAGAUGCGCGGUAGAGGAGCAAUGUGCAGAGGCAGAAGCCGUAUCGAGAGGCACGGUGGACACUGCACAAGAGAGAAUGCCGGUAUGAGUAGCGAGAGGCAUGCGAGAAACAUGCCCGUCGAAAGCCCAAGGUUUCCUGGGGAAGGUUCAUCCGCCCAGGGUAAGUCGGGGCCUAAGCCGAGGACGGAAGUCGUAGGCGAUGGACAGCAGGUGUAGAUUCCUGCACUACCGAUGGAAUGAAGCAGUGACACAGAAGGAUAACUCGAGCAGGGUGAUGGUCAACCCUGUGCAAGCAUCAAGGUUGGGUUGUAGUGAAGUACGCAACCCUAUAAGCUGAGGUGUGAUGCGGACCGAAAUUUCAGUAGGGAAGCGAGUGAGUUCACGCUGGCGAGAAAAGCUGCUAGUAUAUCCAAAGGUACCCGUACCGGAAACCGACGCAGGUGGGCGAGGAGAGAAUCCUGAGACGAACGGGAGAACCCUUGUUAAGGAACUCGGCAAAAUGACCCCGUAACUUCGGGAUAAGGGGUGCCUGCGAGAGCAGGCCGCAGAGAAUAGUCACAAGCGACUGUUUAGCAAAAACACAGGUAUCUGCGAAAGCGAGAGCUGACGUAUAGGUGCUGACACCUGCCCGGUGCUGGAAGGUUAAGGGAACAUGUUAGAGCAAUCGAAGCAUCGAACCGAAGCCCCAGUAAACGGCGGCCGUAACUAUAACGGUCCUAAGGUAGCGAAAUUCCUUGUCGGGUAAGUUCCGACCCGCACGAAUGGUGUAACGACUUGUGAGCUGUCUCAACAGGGGGCCCGGUGAAAUUGAAGUAUGGGUGAAGAUGCCCAUUACCCGCGACUGGACGGAAAGACCCCGUAGAGCUUUACUGCAGCCUGAUAUUGAGUUUCGGUAACUGAUGCACAGGAUAGGUGGGAGUCUGAGAGACACGGGUUUCGGCUCGUGUGGAGACGCUGUUGGGAUACCACUCUUCGGUUACUGAAAUUCUAACAUAGCUCUGUGAAACCAGAGGAUGGACAGUGUCAGGUGGACAGUUUGACUGGGGCGGUCGCCCCCGAAAGGGGUGAGGGGGGGUCCCAAGGGAACCCCCGGAAGGGUGGAAACAAUCUGCAAGAGGGCCAA